Molecule: ribosomal RNA, 1014 nt
Filed under: fungal endophyte sp. B1-3341
Lineage: Eukaryota; Fungi
Description: eukaryotic LSU rRNA
Rfam family: 5.8S ribosomal RNA (bases 665-818)
Source: RNAcentral
UAUGAGAGGGUUUUGGGGGUCCCCUGGACGAGAGGAACAAGUCAAAGGCCCACACCCCCCUGGGCACUGUAGAUUGGGUUUUGACAUAAAGCCCUCUGUGGCUGUAUUUUUCGCAACAAAAUCCCCCCUCGACCCGCCUUUUUUUUAAAAUUCCCUGCUUUUAGGGGGGCCUUUCGGCUCUCCCCUUCGAGGGGGGGGGAGGGGGUUAAUUGGGGGGUAACCCCCCUCCCCGGGGGGAUGGGUGUAAAAAUCAACCCGGGCGGGAGCGAGAACCUAAGAAAAAUGGGUGUUGGGACCCCUGGGAAAACACUUCCCCCCGUUGGAAAAAUCUCCAGCCGCUCCCGCCGUUGGGGUUUUUUUUUUUUAACCCCCCAAUCCUUCCAAAUUCGAGCUUUUUCCCUUUAAAAGUUUAAUCCGUGGGGGAGGUGUAAAAAACGUAACAAGGUCUCCGUUGGUGAACCAGCGGAGGGAUCAUUGCUGGAACAAACGCCCUCACGGGUGCUACCCAGAAACCCCUUGUGAAUUAUACCUAAAAAACUGUUGCCUCGGCUUUUGGUUGGCUUCCUUUGGGAGUCCCUUCGCAAGAAGGAGCAGACCGGCCGGUGGCCCUAUAAACUCUUGUUUUUGUAACAUCAUCUGAGUAAAAAAAAACUAAAUGAAUCAAAACUUUCAACAACGGAUCUCUUGGUUCUGGCAUCGAUGAAGAACGCAGCGAAAUGCGAUAAGUAAUGUGAAUUGCAGAAUUCAGUGAAUCAUCGAAUCUUUGAACGCACAUUGCGCCCGGUGGUAUUCCACCGGGCAUGCCUGUUCGAGCGUCAUUUCAACCCUCAAAGCCCUGGCUUUGGUGUUGGAGGAAUACCUGUUACAGGGUACCCUCUGAAAUUUAGUGGCGGGCUCGCUAGAAUUUUGAGCGUAGUAAUUUUACCUCGUUUUUAAAAGACUAGUGGGACUUUCUAGCCAUAAAACCCCCCAACUGGGAGAAAAAAAUCUCGGCUGCAGGAGGAUGGCCCAAGC